ACGGCGGACGGGUGAGUAACACGUGAGUAACCUGCCUUAGACAUUGGGAUAGCCUCGGGAAACCGGGAUUAAUACCAAAUGAAAUCACAUAUGCACAUGCAUAAAUGAUCAAAGCUCCGGCGGUCUAAGAUGGACUCGCGUCCCAUUAGCUAGUUGGUGAGGUAACGGCCCACCAAGGCGACGAUGGGUAGCCGGCCUGAGAGGGUGAACGGCCACAUUGGAACUGAGAAACGGUCCAAACUCCUACGGGAGGCAGCAGUC
This 261-nucleotide ribosomal RNA is filed under the name uncultured Peptoniphilus sp. Its description in RNAcentral is "partial 16S ribosomal RNA". It matches the Rfam family "Bacterial small subunit ribosomal RNA", at positions 95 to 355 of the family's 1533-position model. Lineage: Bacteria; Bacillati; Bacillota; Tissierellia; Tissierellales; Peptoniphilaceae. The record is from RNAcentral.